GACGACGCUGGCGGCGUGCCUAACACAUGCAAGUCGAGCGGAGAUAAGCGGAUGGUAACUGAAGCUUGUCUUAGCGGCGGACGGGUGAGUAACACGUGGGCAACCUGCCUUGGAGUGGGGGAUAACACCGGGAAAUCGGUGCUAAUACCGCAUAACAUACACAUACUGCAUGGUGAGUGUAUCAAAGGAGUAAUCCGCUUUAAGAUGGGCCCGCGGCUGAUUAGCUAGUUGGUAAGGUAACGGCUUACCAAGGCGACGAUCAGUAGCCGACCUGAGAGGGCGACCGGCCACACUGGAACUGAGACACGGUCCAGACUCCUACGGGAGGCAGCAGUGGGGAAUAUUGCGCAAUGGGGGAAACCCUGACGCAGCAACGCCGCGUGGAGGAAGAAGGUCUUCGGAUUGUAAACUCCUGUCUUCUGGGAAGAUAAUGACGGUACCAGAGGAGGAAGCCACGGCUAACUACGUG
RNAcentral lists this ribosomal RNA (469 nucleotides) under uncultured bacterium. Its description in RNAcentral is "bacterial SSU rRNA". It matches the Rfam family "Bacterial small subunit ribosomal RNA", at positions 33 to 507 of the family's 1533-position model. The record is from RNAcentral.